CGAGCAUUUACAUACCUGGUUGUGGUCGGACCAAAUUGUUAAAUUAUCUAAAUCAAUUGGUCCCCUUCAACCAGUUAUGUUUCUCCUCCUUA
This 92-nucleotide microRNA precursor is filed under the name Onchocerca volvulus. RNAcentral's name for it is "pre miRNA OVOC13385". Lineage: Eukaryota; Metazoa; Nematoda; Chromadorea; Rhabditida; Onchocercidae. The record is from RNAcentral.